UACGUAGGGCGCAAGCGUUGUCCGGAAUUAUUGGGCGUAAAGAGCUCGUAGGCGGUUUGUUGCGUCUGUCGUGAAAGCCCACAGCUUAACUGUGGGUCUGCGGUGGAUACGGGCAGACUUGAGGCAGGUAGGGGAGAAUGGAAUUCCCGGUGUAGCGGUGAAAUGCGCAGAUAUCGGGAGGAACACCGGUGGCGAAGGCGGUUCUCUGGGCCUGUACUGACGCUGAGGAGCGAAAGCGUGGGGAGCAAACGGG
This 253-nucleotide ribosomal RNA is filed under the name uncultured bacterium. Its description in RNAcentral is "partial 16S ribosomal RNA". It matches the Rfam family "Bacterial small subunit ribosomal RNA", at positions 524 to 776 of the family's 1533-position model. The record is from RNAcentral.